This 563-nucleotide ribosomal RNA is filed under the name uncultured bacterium. RNAcentral describes it as "bacterial SSU rRNA". It matches the Rfam family "Bacterial small subunit ribosomal RNA", at positions 367 to 922 of the family's 1533-position model. The record is from RNAcentral.
CACAAUGGGCGAAAGCCUGAUGCAGCCAUGCCGCGUGUAUGAAGAAGGCCUUCGGGUUGUAAAGUACUUUCAGUUGUGAGGAAGGGUGUGUAGUUAAUAGCUGCGCAUCUUGACGUUAGCAACAGAAGACGCACCGGCUAACUCCGUGCCAGCAGCCGCGGUAAUACGGAGGGUGCUAGCGUUAAUCGGAACUACUGGGCGUAAAGCGCAUGCAUGUGGUUCAUUAAGUCAGAUGUGAAAGACCGGGGCUCAACCUCGGAACUGCAUUUGAAACUGGUGAACUAGAGUGCUGUAUAUGGGGGUAGAAUUUCAGGUGUAGCGGUGAAAUGCGUAGAGAUCUGAAGGAAUACCAGCGGCGAAGGCAACCUACUGGACGCGUAAUGACACUCAGAUGCGAAAGCGUGGGGAGCAAAUAGGAUUAGAUACCCUAGUAGUCCACGCAGUAAACGAUGUCUACUUUUCAAGCGUCGACUUAUGCGACGCUUGAUAACGCGAAUGCCCUAGGUAGGCCGCCAGGGGAGGACGCACGCAAGUGUAAAACUCAAACGAACUACUAUUGGGCU